CCAUCAUUUCAUAAAUCACAGUUCAGGAAAUCCUCAACUAUUCAGUAUCCUCCAUUAUCGGCUAAGCAACUGAAUUUAGCCUGCUAAACCAGCAUGACAAUGGCGGGUUGAAUAAUCAAGAAGAUCCCAAUUCAUUCAAAGCUCUAACUAUCACUGAGCAACACAUGCUUCAAUGACAAUCUGAACUUCGAAUUAAUUUGUAAAACGGAAAUUCUUUAGAAACUUGAAGAUUAGAAAGAAUGGGUCAGAAUACUCGCACUUUCGAACAUUGAAAAGAAAGGUAUGAAUACUUGAAACAUAUACCAAAGGAAUGGAUCAGAAUAUUUGCAAUAUAUCCAAGAGAAAGGUUUAGGAUACUUGCAACACAUAUAGAAAAGAAUGGAUCAGAAUAUGCAAUAUAUCCAAAAGCAGGGUGUAGGAUACUUGCCUUAAAUCUGACUCCAAUCUCACAUCUCUAUCUCAUCUUUCAACUUUCACAAUCUAUGCAUCUCGUAAUCUCUAGACCAUCUCUAGUUAUACUUUAUUCGCCACAUCGCUUCGCUUACUCGAUUCAUCCCUUAUUCGCUUUGCAAUACCCUUCCGACUUUCUGACGUCUUCAAGCGUACACGUCUCGUCCAAAUCCUUUACGAGAAUAAAAUAAUACUAUAAUCACUAAUCAAUUUAUCGCAUAUGCAUAUCACGUAUAUCGAUACCCACUUAUAUAUCCCUUUACCUAUCAAAUAUCACUUAACACAUAAUCAUGCUUUGACUCUAUCAUAUAGUCAAGUCAUAUAUCACAAAUCAAUCAUAUAAUUCCUGUCGAAAUCCGACAUCGUCUCGUCUAGUUGUAGGACUAUCCAUAUGUUAUCCUAUUCUGUCCAACAACCAAUCAACCAAUUCCAACUCCUAUAAUCCAUACGUUCUUAUCCCAUAUUAAUCAAAUCAUGACACUAUGUCAUAUAAGUCAUUUAUCACAUAUGUACCAUAUUAGGAAUAACCACAUAUAUCACGUAAUCAUCAAUUCAUAACAACCAAGUCACGUAUAGUCACAUAUUGCAUAUUACAUAGCAUAUAAUCACAUUCUAGAUUCAAUCAUAUUAUCUCGUCAUAUUAGAAUAGACUUCAUGAGCUUUCAUCUCUCUUUCGUUUCACUCGAUUCCGACUUACGGAUCAAAAGAUAUGUUCAAAACAGUUUUCUCACUCUCCUAUCGGCACAUAACACAUCCAACCAAUAGCAGACAACACACAACACAUAAGGUUUCCCAUCCCAAUUGAUGUCAAAUCAACUCUUGGGUUAAAAAUGAUUUUUCGGGAAUUUUCUGGAAAUUUUUAAACAUUUUUCGGAAUUAAAAUCGAUAAAAGAAUCACUUUUCAAAUAAAUAAUCAAGUCCCAAAUACUUGAAAUUGGACUUGAAAUCAUUCCUAAACAAUUAUCGAGCCUUG
This 1423-nucleotide long non-coding RNA is filed under the name Daucus carota (carrot). Its description in RNAcentral is "long non-coding RNA (DCAR_LNC004919)". Lineage: Eukaryota; Viridiplantae; Streptophyta; Magnoliopsida; Apiales; Apiaceae. The record is from RNAcentral.